This 168-nucleotide ribosomal RNA is filed under the name Lumbricillus tuba. RNAcentral describes it as "5.8S ribosomal RNA". Lineage: Eukaryota; Metazoa; Annelida; Clitellata; Enchytraeida; Enchytraeidae. The record is from RNAcentral.
UCAAUCGCGAAGCCGCUCUCCGCUCGCGCAUUGGGCGUCACAGUUGGCCGAAGCCGGUCUCGCGAUCGGUCACGUCGACUCUGUCGCCUCAAGUCCAGACGGGUUGCCCGGCCGCUAACGUUGGCUCGGGGCGGUGACUCGACUCUCGAAGAGCUUUCCGCAUCUCCC